RNAcentral lists this ribosomal RNA (254 nucleotides) under uncultured bacterium. Its description in RNAcentral is "partial 16S ribosomal RNA". It matches the Rfam family "Bacterial small subunit ribosomal RNA", at positions 524 to 776 of the family's 1533-position model. The record is from RNAcentral.
UACGGGGGGAGCAAGCGUUGUUCGGAUUUACUGGGCGUAAAGGGCGCGUAGGCGGUCGUGACAAGUCACUUGUGAAAUCUCCGGGCUUAACUCGGAACGGUCAAGCGAUACUGUCGGACUAGAGUACAGAAGGGGCAACUGGAAUUCUCGGUGUAGCGGUGAAAUGCGUAGAUAUCGAGAGGAACACCUGCGGCGAAGGCGGGUUGCUGGGCUGAUACUGACGCUGAGGCGCGAAAGCCAGGGGAGCGAACGGG